RNAcentral lists this ribosomal RNA (425 nucleotides) under uncultured bacterium. Its description in RNAcentral is "bacterial SSU rRNA". It matches the Rfam family "Bacterial small subunit ribosomal RNA", at positions 354 to 776 of the family's 1533-position model. The record is from RNAcentral.
GUGAGGAAUAUUGGACAAUGGGCGAGAGCCUGAUCCAGCCAUGCCGCGUGCAGGAAGACUGCCCUAUGGGUUGUAAACUGCUUUUAUACAGGAAGAAACCUUUCCACGUGUGGGAAGCUGACGGUACUGUAAGAAUAAGGAUCGGCUAACUCCGUGCCAGCAGCCGCGGUAAUACGGAGGAUCCGAGCGUUAUCCGGAAUUAUUGGGUUUAAAGGGUCCGUAGGCGGGUCUUUAAGUCAGUGGUGAAAGUUUGCGGCUCAACCGUAAAAUUGCCAUUGAUACUGGAGAUCUUGAAUUAGUGUGAAGUGGUUAGAAUGUGUAGUGUAGCGGUGAAAUGCAUAGAUAUUACACAGAAUACCAAUUGCGAAGGCAGAUCACUAACACUAUAUUGACGCUGAGGGACGAAAGCGUGGGGAGCGAACAGG